GGGAUCUUGCUAUGGCAACUCACAUACUAAAAAUGAAACUAUACAGAGAAGAUUACAAGAGGCUCUGUGUUAGUAUGGAGUGCUAAUUUGUAAAUCAUUCCAUAUUUUG
Molecule: small nuclear RNA, 109 nt
Organism: Cricetulus griseus (Chinese hamster)
Lineage: Eukaryota; Metazoa; Chordata; Mammalia; Rodentia; Cricetidae
Source: Ensembl